UGUGCCAGCAGCUGCGGUGAUACGUAGGGCGCAAGCGUUGUCCGGAAUUAUUGGGCGUAAAGAGCUCGUAGGCGGUUAGUCGCGUCUGCUGUGAAAACUCGAGGCUCAACCUCGGGCUUGCAGUGGGUACGGGCUGACUAGAGUGCGGUAGGGGUGACUGGAAUUCCUGGUGUAGCGGUGGAAUGCGCAGAUAUCAGGAGGAACACCGAUGGCGAAGGCAGGUCACUGGGCCGCAACUGACGCUGAGGAGCGAAAGCAUGGGGAGCGAACAGGAUUAGAUACCCUGGUAGUCCAUGCCGUAAACGUUGGGCACUAGGUGUGGGACCCAUUCCACGGGUUCCGUGCCGCAGCUAACGCAUUAAGUGCCCCGCCUGGGGAGUACGGCCGCAAGGCUAAAACUCAAAGAAAUUGACGGGGGCCCGCACAAGCGGCGGAGCAUGCGGAUUAAUUCGAUGCAACGCGAAGAACCUUACCAAGGCUUGACAUACACCGGAAAAGUGCAGAGAUGUGCUCCCCGUAAGGUCGGUGUACAGGUGGUGCAUGG
Molecule: ribosomal RNA, 544 nt
Filed under: Cellulomonas sp.
Lineage: Bacteria; Bacillati; Actinomycetota; Actinomycetes; Micrococcales; Cellulomonadaceae
Description: bacterial SSU rRNA
Rfam family: Bacterial small subunit ribosomal RNA
Source: RNAcentral